This 513-nucleotide ribosomal RNA is filed under the name uncultured bacterium. RNAcentral's name for it is "partial 16S ribosomal RNA". It matches the Rfam family "Bacterial small subunit ribosomal RNA", at positions 28 to 523 of the family's 1533-position model. The record is from RNAcentral.
GACGAACGCUGGCGGCAUGCCUAAUACAUGCAAGUCGAGCGAACAGAUGAAGUGCUUGCACUUCUGACGUUAGCGGCGAACGGGUGAGUAACACGUAAGGAAUCUACCUAUAAGCGGGGGAUAACAUUCGGAAACGGGUGCUAAUACCGCAUAAUAUCUUCUUCCGCAUGGAAGAAGAUUGAAAGACGGCUCUGCUGUCACUUAUAGAUGACCUUGCGGUGCAUUAGUUAGUUGGUGGGGUAAUGGCCUACCAAGACGAUGAUGCAUAGCCGACCUGAGGGGGUGAUCGGCCACAUUGGGACUGAGACACGGCCCAAACUCCUACGGGGGGCAGCAGUAGGGAAUCUUCCGCCAUGGGCGAAAGCCUGACGGAGCAAUGCCGCGUGAGUGAAGAAGGCCUUCGGGUCGUAAAACUCUGUUAUAAGAGAAGAACAAAUUGUAGAGUAACUGCUACAGUCUUGACGGUAUCUUAUCAGAAAGCCACGGCUAACUACGUGCCAGCAGCCGCCGCUG